Molecule: ribosomal RNA, 1881 nt
Filed under: Triticum aestivum (bread wheat)
Lineage: Eukaryota; Viridiplantae; Streptophyta; Magnoliopsida; Poales; Poaceae
Description: partial small subunit ribosomal RNA
Source: RNAcentral
AUGUUCUACUCCCACUCCGUCCUGGCUCGGAAGAGCCCGCUGGGCACGGUGUGGAUCGCCGCGCACCUCGAGCGCAAGGUCAACCGGACGCAGAUCGACGGCGUCGACGUCCCCUCCUACGCCGCGUCCAUCAUGGACCCCGAGGUGCCCAUCGCGCUCCGGCUGUCGGGGCAUCUCCUCCUCGGGCUCGUCCGCAUCUACUCGUGGAAGGUGAACCACCUGUUCCAGGACUGCAACCGGAUGCUGAGCGCGGUCAGGACCGCCUUCGCCUCCAUGGAGGCGAUAGAUCUGCCGGUUGAUGCGGACCGUGCUCCGUUCGAGGUAAUCACCCUGCCGGAGACCUUCAGCCUGGAUGACUUGAGCCUUGAUGAUGCGAUUCGUCAGAUGGAUACGCCGGAUCGUCAUCGGCGGACCUCUGAUCAGAUCACCUUGUCUGGAGAAGGGUAUGUGAUGAUCACCCUUGAUGAGGAUGGUGGAGCAGAGUUCACGUCUCCUGCUGGUCGAUCUUCAGGAUUUGAGCCUGUACAGCAUGAGCAGGAGACAUUCCCUCCGUUUCUAGAGGAUAUUAUUUCUGUAGAUCCUCCUCCCCAUGGCAGUUUUUCAGUGACCCACCAAGAUACACCAGAAAUAUUGCGUCGAGCUUCUGAGAGUGCGUCAAGGUUUGAAGAUGUUAUUGAUGGCGGUGACCCCAUGGAUGAAGAUCCGUCGCCGUUCAUAGAGAAGGUUACCACGUCACCAGCAAUGCUCUCACCUGUAUCCCCUGUGCUUCGGACAUCCAUUCCCAAUGCUCCGACACGUAUCAGCCAUGAGCGUGUUGAAGAAGAUGAAGAACCAGCAGGUGACGCUGGACUCUUGGCACCUGUAGCAUUUGUCCUUGAACCAUCUCCACCACCUCAAGUACAAGGUAACAGGAGAAGGAGAAGGGCGAAUGUACAGGAGAACAGGAGAAGGCCUGCAAUUGAUGAGGAAAUUGUGCUCUCCAAUGAUUAUAUGAGUAAUCAAAUUGAUGGCAUUGAACUAGGUAGGCUGGCUCGCAGGAGGAAGAUACUGCCCCAUACAGCAGUGGAUGUGUGGAGGUUCAACAGGAUAAGCCAAAAGGACAGCCUCUUCUCUGAACCUCUGGUGCAAGGAAUGUGCAGUGAUCUUCAUAAAGCUUAUGAGGGGAACUACCCUCGUGUGAGUGACUCUGAUGCUGAUGCUGUAAACAUUGGUGACGAAGAUGCACCUGCACCUGACGGGAAUGCUCAGCCUGCUGAUGUUGUGAAUGUUUGUGACAAGGAGCAGAGUCACUCAAUGUCUCUAGUAAAUGGAGAGGCAACACCAUUUGAUUCGCCACCUGAGCUCCCUCGCUUCUCUCCACGAAAGGAUCUAUCUCCAGUAAGAGAAGAAGAUCACACCCCUUUUGAAACCCCUGGUCGAAGUGGAACCCCGCGGUCUGGACUUGGAGGAACUGGUGUUACUGUACCACUAACACAUUGCAGUUAUGCAUCACUUGGAAAAAAUACUGUUGAAUCUGAUUUCCCAUUCGGUACUGACGAUCUUGACGAAGAUCUACCGGGGUUUCCUGGGCUCAUGAAUACCCCUAGCAUGAUAUCCAGUGCGGGUACCAGCACCACAGGAUUAGGCAGCAUCAUGUCUACCAGGACAAGGGCUGCCGCCCAGUACUUCAAAGGUAUGAUGUCUUCAGCCACGUCAGAAGACCAGCCAGGGAAAUUCAGUUUAAACAGAAUCUUGGACGGGAGGACAAAGAAGCAAGCUGCAAGCAUGUUCUUUGAAACAUUGGCCCUGAAGAGCUAUGAUUAUAUCGAUGUCCAUCAGGAAGAAGCGUAUGGCGAUAUUUCAGUUUCGGUUAGACCGUCACUCUCGAGCGCUAAACUUUGA